This is an RNA transcript of Pipra filicauda (Wire-tailed manakin), 4852 nucleotides long. RefSeq lists it as uncharacterized. The record is from RefSeq and is a predicted model, not a curated record. The transcript has 3 exons. Lineage: Eukaryota; Metazoa; Chordata; Aves; Passeriformes; Pipridae.
CUUGCAAUCUGCAUAUGCAGAAUUAAUAAAGAGUGAGAAAAACUCUCACUCUUGCAAUCUUUGAUCACUUCAUCGGUAAAGAAAAUAUUUCUUUCUCUGUUAUAGUUUUAACUUAUUAGCUAGUAUGAUUCAUUUGCCUUCUAGAGAUUUUAAGCCGAGAAUGCUCAGUAUUCUUGUUGAUUUUACCCUCACAAAUGCAUGUGUAUUGAAGGUUCUUCACUCCUUUCCCAGGGACUUUUGCUUUGCUUUGCUUUGCAUGUGUCAUCCAUCAGCAUUUCAGAAUAUGGGCUGAAAAGAGUAAUUAGGACUCUCUUGUCUAAAUCUAAAUACUCUGGGGAGAGAAGAGUCACCUCUCUGACUGCUGCUUCUUUCUGCUAAGACAGAUUUGCCCCCGUCUUCUCCAGCCUUUCUUUGCAGGCCAAGCCUUCGGAAGAAAUCCAACCUUUUUGUGAUCAAUGCAAUCAAAAUCAUUGUAAUACCAGAUGCAAGUGUUCUGCACUUUUCCUUAAACAUUCUUAAAGCAACCAAUGCCUUCCUUUUCCCCUUUUAUCUGUUCCUACUAUUUGUACGCCUCUAGGAUGGAUUAUUAGCAAGUGUUGGCUUUGCAAUCUAUCCUGGGUAAAUGGAAUUUGCAAUGUGAUAGAAAAAUGUACUUUGUCACAAAAUACCCUAGAGAUUAAUGCCCUUUUUUUGCUCACAGCACAAAAUCCAAUCUCCAUAGAGUACUUUCUGUGUAAGUUAAAUGAUAAUGGAUUGUGUCUCAUCCCACAGGGAAUCAUCCUUAACCAAACAAAAUACACGUAAGAGAGAGAAUUCUACAGCCCAAACACAGGGAUGGCUGAUAAAUGUACUAUAAACAGGGGAGAUUUGUUUGUGUUUUAAGACAAAAAAAAGGAUAAGGAUAAAAGUUGAUAAUUUUCUCUUAGUUUCUCAUGCAUAUUGUAGACAAGAUAAAUAUAGCAAACAAAAAUAGAGUGAUAGUGUCAAUACCUAUGAAUUGUGUCAAAUAGGCAACAGUAGAAUAUUUGUUAUGGUAAUUUAAAACAGAUAAUUGAAGUAAAAUGGUAGAGCAAACAUUUGUGAUGUUUGUUUAUGUGAGACAAAAUCCAAAAUCUUACUAGUUCUAGAAGAUGAAGCCAGAAGAGCUGCUUAGGUUGUAUCCCAUUUUCCAAUGAGACUUAUUGAAAUUUUAGAGUUGCUGAGAGUAAUUAAGUGUGCAGAAAAGACUUUCUUUUUUACAGUGCAAUCAGAUAUGAUUUUUAUCAGUUCUUCAAUCCUCUAGUUUCAUUCUUUCAAUGAACAGUUCCUCAGCUUUAACAAAACCUAUUGUUUUAUUGUUAGGAAAUUCUGGAGUUUUACUGUACAUCCCAAAGCAAAUAUUGAUACAUGACUUUGCUUUUGCAAAUGGCAUUUCACUGUGGGCCUAAAUGAUCUCUAGGAAUUCUUUUCUUUUUACCCAUGGACCUUCUGUUGUACUUCUUCCCUUCUGUCCUUUCCAGCUGCAGGUGUCAUCAGCAGAGCAGCACAAGCAGCACGUGCUGAGGAGACAGCUGCAGCCUUUCCUCCAGCCCGGCAGGAGCUCCCAGAACCAGGGGGAAUGGAUCGGGUGCCCCAGGUCAUCAGUGCCCCCCUGACCCAGAUGAGAACAUGCCAGCAGAAUGUUGGCACAGGUUAACCUAUCAUUUGAGCAGAGUGGUGCUCUCUGGGUAUCUGCACGAUGGAGGAGGCCUUGGGAAGAAGCUGGUUCUUCAGAACAAGCUGGAUGAGGUUCCUGCAGAGUUGAUGUGACUGACUUCUUUUUGAAAUGCAGCAGUGCUCUCAAGGAUAUUUCCCCCCCACUCCUGGCCUUGUGCAGGGCUGUUGAGUCCGUGUGUGCCACUGUUCUUGUCCCAGGGGGACCGAGUGACAUUUGGAACCAAACCUGGGUCCUUGGGACUGAGCCCAGAACUGAUCCUGUUCAUGACCCACAAGGGAUGAAACUGUUCUGCAAGCCCAGUUUGCAGAGCAGGAGCUUUGCAAUAAUCAGCAGUGAGCACAGGAAUUCAUUCCCCCGAAAUGUUCUGGGAAGGUUCUGUGUGUGCCAGCCCUGCUUCCUCCCCAGUGUGCCCUCCUUUGUGCUCCUCUGCCUCAAGGCCAGGGCUGGCUUUGGCCCUGCCCUUGUCCAGGCAGGAGUGCCCGUGGGCAGUGGGUUUGUCAGCAGUGGGCACAGCUCCCAGGGGCUGUUCUGGCUUUGGCCCUGCCCUUGUCCAGGCAGGAGUGCCCGUGGGCAGUGGGUUUGUCAGCAGUGGGCACAGCUCCCAGGGGCUGUUCUGGCUUUGGCCCUGCCCUUGUCCAGGCAGGAGUGCCCGUGGGCAGUGGGUUUGUCAGCAGUGGGCACAGCUCCCAGGGGCUGUUCUGGCUGGGCACACGUUGGCACAGGGGUACUGCAGUCCCAAGGACUUGGCUUGGGGCUUUUCAGGAAGGGCCAGAAAGACUUUCUUUGGCCACUUUUACCAUUCCUGAAAGUGAAAUCUCUGCACUGAAACUUCUCUAAAUAAACUGUCCAUUUUUUUAUUCCCCUGGAGUGAAGCUCCCAAUUUUGGAUGCCAGGGUGCUGCCAGCUUUAUUUGCCCAGCUGGGAGCAGUGUCUGUACAGGUCCCCAGUGUCUCCUGUCCUUGUCCUUUCUCAGUUGGGAAGUGAGCUGCUCUCCUCCCCUCUGACUCUGCCCUGGUCCCCAGCACCUGCUGAAGUUCAAGAGAGCAGCAGCUUAGGCCAAAGGUGUUCCUGCCCUUUAUCUGCUCCCCCUCCAGCCACGGCCCUGGCAGGGAGAGCCAGCUCUGAGCUCCCAAAUCUGCAGUGCCCAGGCAGGUGACCCGGAGCAGCUGAGAGCUCUGGUGGGCUCACACUGUCAGCUUUGCUUCUCCAUUGGCUUGGCUGGUUCCCGUUAGGAGAAGGUUUGUUUCCUCCACUGUGAUAAUUCAGGGAAAUCCUGAGAUGUGAUUUAAGAAAGAAAGUCAUGAGCUAUUGCAAUAAAUGUGAAUCUGAGAGUGCCUAAAAGCUGUUGCUGAAUUCCAUUUCCAGGGACUGUCCUGGUGGGGAUACUCCAGAAUUGCAGCUUUGAUGUUUCCAAAGGAGCCUGUGGUACUUCUUGUUUCCUGUGCUGGGCUUUCCUUGAACAGUGCCCAGGGAGGGGAGCAGCAACAGCUUCACUUGGAAGUGGACUCUGGUUUUUGAGAACAUCCUAAGCUCAGUGUGGUUUUGGUAUCACUCAGUACUUAUUUUAUUUGCCAUUUGCCUUAAAUUGUAUACACCUUUGAAGUGCCAGCUGUGUUUUGAAGACAUUCUUACAGUUGUUUCAAGUGAAACUUGGAAUGCUACACAUUUAGAAAGAGAUGAUUUUCCUGUGAAUAAACUACUAAAACAAAGGGGGGGAGUGAGGAAAGCCAAGUUCAGGAGAUAACCUUACCAACUGGUUUUGGAAGUUGUUUACCUAAAUGGCCCAAAGUGGUUUGAGCUGCAGCACAAACGGGGGGGAGAAGGAGAGGUUUUGUAUUUUGACAGUUCUUGAAGUUUUUUGCAGGGACUACUGCCAGGUUCUCUUUGAAGUCCAAAGCCCAUUAGCACGGGGAAAUGUGUGUUUGGCUUCAGAGAUAGAAGGAGUGUGUAUUUCCCUUGGAACUAGAGGAAUGUUUCUGUGUCUUUGAAUUUUAAAUUGCACAUGAAGCAGAAAUAUGUUUGUGUUUUACAGGUGAUAUUUCCAUGAAAAUAGAAAUGUAAAAGGAGAAGAUGCAAAAAACGAACUCGAGAGUCAGAGACACAUCCUCCUAGAGGUACAGGCAAUGCUCUCACUUUAUUCCAAAAAUACACCCAUUAUCAAGGGUCCUACAGGGUUCACACGCUCUGUUCUAACUCUCUAUUGGUUACAUUUACUUUCACACACUAUAUCUAUAACUUCAUUGGCUCUACUAGCCAAGGCACAUUUCCAGGCCCCCCAUCUUCUGGUUUCUCACACCCUGGCUAACAACCUCCUUCCUGGUUUUCCUCUCUGCAGCUUUCUGCUCUCUGCUGCUCCAGGCCCCCCAUGUGCUGCUGGAGCACACGGGUCCCUGCCGUCCAGCACGCAGGCUGCAUUGUGCCAGCAGGCCUGAUGCAGUGUAUGUCCUGCAGCCUCGAAGAGUUUCUCAACAGAAAUGCAUCAUUGGAUCUUACUCCUCUGAGGGCAAAGCACCAGCCUGAUCAUUUCUCAGUCCCUCAAACCCAGUGCCAUGAGCUCAGAGGGGUGUUUGGGUGCAAAUGUGGUGAGUGGUGGUGGCCCCCGGGAGCUGUGACCAGCUGGAAAUGGGGGGGUGUGUGCAGAGCUGGGCUGGAUCCCUUGGGAUUUGGCUCCCAGAUCCCCCCCAGCCUUCAGGGAAACCAGAGGCCCCCGACCCCUGAGGGAAGGGAGUCCCGUCUGCAGAAGGGUUUUAGGUUGGGGAAAAGCUCUCCAGAACAAAGCCUGGCUUCCAAACACCUUCAGCAAAAGUCAAGGAGCACAAACCCUGAAGUCAUCACGUUAGGAAGUUUGGUUCAAACCUUUUGCUUCUCAGUCAGUUUUAAUGAAGUGUUAAAAGGAGAACAUAAAUAAGGUUAAUUGCUGAUGGAGAAUAAUGGGAAGAAGUGGAGUGGUUUAAGUUCACUAACCAUGUUUUCUAUCAGUCCAUGGUUAUUUAAUUGAGCAUUGUUUGGAAUUUUUCUUUUUGCAUUCGUUCCUGUGUGCUUUUCUCUAUCUAAGGGAUGGUUGGAGGUCUUUGUGAUUGGUUGGAUGUUUUUAAUGUCAGUGCUCGAUUGGGGUGGACAGUCACUGUAACAGGAUUUAGAGUUUGGUGCACUUUA